RNAcentral lists this long non-coding RNA (253 nucleotides) under Homo sapiens (human). Its description in RNAcentral is "non-protein coding lnc-EIF2AK3-7:2". Lineage: Eukaryota; Metazoa; Chordata; Mammalia; Primates; Hominidae. The record is from RNAcentral.
AGUGAUGACACAGUCUCCAGCUUCCCUGUCUUUGUCUCUGGAGAAAAAAGCCACCCUGACUUGCAGGGCCAGUCAGUGUUAGCAGCUACUAAGCCUGGUACCAGAAGAAACCUGAGCGGGUUCCCAGGCUCCUCAUCUAUGGUACAGCCCUGAUUUGUGAUAGUGGGUCGGGGACAGGGCUUACUCUCACCAUCGGCAGCCUGGAGCCUGGAGCCUGGAGAUUUGCACUUCAUCACUGUUAUCAGCAUAGUAG